Molecule: ribosomal RNA, 460 nt
Filed under: uncultured bacterium
Lineage: Bacteria
Description: partial 16S ribosomal RNA
Rfam family: Bacterial small subunit ribosomal RNA
Source: RNAcentral
CCUACGGGUGGCAGCAGUGAGGAAUAUUGGUCAAUGGGCGCGAGCCUGAACCAGCCAAGUAGCGUGAAGGAUGACUGCCCUACGGGUUGUAAACUUCUUUUAUAAAGGAAUAAAGUGCGGCACGUGUGCCUUUUUGUAUGUACUGUAUGAAUAAGGAUCGGCUAACUCCGUGCCAGCAGCCGCGGUAAUACGGAGGAUCCGAGCGUUAUCCGGAUUUAUUGGGUUUAAAGGGAGCGUAGAUGGGUUGUUAAGUCAGUUGUGAAAGUUUGCGGCUCAACCGUAAAAUUGCAUUUGAUACUGGUAGUCUUGAGUAUAGUUGAGGUAGGCGGAAUGCGUGGUGUAGCGGUGAAAUGCUUAGAGAUCACGAAGAACUCCGAUUGCGAAGGCAGCUUACUAAACUGCAACUGACAUUGAUGCACGAAAGUGUGGGUAUCAAACAGGAUUAGAUACCCGAGUAGUC